UAGGGAAUCUUCCACAAUGGACGCAAGUCUGAUGGAGCAACGCCGCGUGAGUGAAGAAGGCUUUCGGGUCGUAAAACUCUGUUAUUGAAGAAGAACGUGCGUGACAGUAACUGGUCAUGCAGUGACGGUAUUCAAUCAGAAAGUCACGGCUAACUACGUGCCAGCAGCCGCGGUAAUACGUAGGUGGCAAGCGUUGUCCGGAUUUAUUGGGCGUAAAGCGAGUGCAGGCGGUCUUUUAAGUCUGAUGUGAAAGCCUUCGGCUUAACCGAAGAAGGGCAUCGGAAACUGGGAGACUUGAGUGCAGAAGAGGAGAGUGGAACUCCAUGUGUAGCGGUGAAAUGCGUAGAUAUAUGGAAGAACACCAGUGGCGAAGGCGGCUCUCUGGUCUGUAACUGACGCUGAGGCUCGAAAGCGUGGGUAGCAAACAGGAU
Molecule: ribosomal RNA, 431 nt
Filed under: uncultured bacterium
Lineage: Bacteria
Description: partial 16S ribosomal RNA
Rfam family: Bacterial small subunit ribosomal RNA
Source: RNAcentral